This 333-nucleotide ribosomal RNA is filed under the name uncultured eukaryote. Its description in RNAcentral is "partial 18S ribosomal RNA". It matches the Rfam family "Eukaryotic small subunit ribosomal RNA", at positions 1470 to 1796 of the family's 1831-position model. The record is from RNAcentral.
CCCUUAGAUGUUCUGGGCCGCACGCGCGCUACACUGAUGCGUUCAACGAGUAUACAACCUUGAUCGAUAGGUCUGGGUAAUCUUGUGAAUGCGCAUCGUGCUAGGGAUAGAUUGUUGCAAUUUUCAAUCUUGAACGAGGAAUUCCUAGUAAACGCAAGUCAUCAGCUUGCAUUGAUUACGUCCCUGCCCUUUGUACACACCGCCCGUCGCACCUACCGAUUGAACGGUUUAGUGAGGGCCUCGGAUUGGUCUCGGCCCGCUCUUUACCGGGCGGCGCCGUUGGUCGAGAAGACGCUCGAACUUGAUCGUUUAGAGGAAGUAAAAGUCGUAACA